This 1292-nucleotide ribosomal RNA is filed under the name Octospora sp. RNAcentral's name for it is "SSU rRNA". It matches the Rfam family "Eukaryotic small subunit ribosomal RNA", at positions 88 to 1408 of the family's 1831-position model. The record is from RNAcentral. Lineage: Eukaryota; Fungi; Ascomycota; Pezizomycetes; Pezizales; Pyronemataceae.
UGCGAACGGCUCAUUAAAUCAGUUAUCGUUUAUUUGAUAGUACCUUUACCUACUUGGAUAACCGUGGUAAUUCUAGAGCUAAUACAUGCUAAAAGUCCCGACCUCUGGAAGGGACGUAUUUAUUAGAUAAAAAACCAAUGCCCUUCUGGGCUUCUUGGUGAUUCAUGAUAACUUUACGAAUCGCAUGGCCUUGUGCCGGCGAUGGUUCAUUCAAAUUUCUGCCCUAUCAACUUUCGAUGGUAGGAUAGUGGCCUACCAUGGUUUCAACGGGUAACGGGGAAUUAGGGUUCGAUUCCGGAGAGGGAGCCUGAGAAACGGCUACCACAUCCAAGGAAGGCAGCAGGCGCGCAAAUUACCCAAUCCCGACACGGGGAGGUAGUGACAAGAAAUACUGAUACAGGGCCCUUUCGGGUCUUGUAAUUGGAAUGAGUACAAUUUAAAGCCUUUAACGAGGAACAAUUGGAGGGCAAGUCUGGUGCCAGCAGCCGCGGUAAUUCCAGCUCCAAUAGCGUAUAUUAAAGUUGUUGCAGUUAAAAAGCUCGUAGUUGAACUUUGGGUCUGGGUGACCGGUCCCCCGAUAGGGUGUGUACUGGAAGCCCGGAUCUUUCCUUCUGGAGAACCUCAUGCCCUUCACUGGGUGUGUUGGGGAACUAGGACUUUUACUUUGAAAAAAUUAGAGUGUUCAAAGCAGGCUUUUGCUCGAAUACAUUAGCAUGGAAUAAUAAAAUAGGACGUGCGGUUCUAUUUUGUUGGUUUCUAGGACCGCCGUAAUGAUUAAUAGGGAUAGUCGGGGGCAUCCGUAUUCGAUUGUCAGAGGUGAAAUUCUUGGAUUUUUCGAAGACGAACUACUGCGAAAGCAUUUGCCAAGGAUGUUUUCAUUAAUCAGGAACGAAAGUUGAGGGAUCGAAGACGAUCAGAUACCGUCGUAGUCUCAACCAUAAACUAUGCCGACUAGGAAUCGGGCGAUGUUUUCAAUUUGACUCGCUCGGCACCUUACGAGAAAUCAAAGUUUUUGGGUUCUGGGGGGAGUAUGGUCGCAAGGCUGAAACUUAAAGGAAUUGACGGAAGGGCACCACCAGGAGUGGAGCCUGCGGCUUAAUUUGACUCAACACGGGGAAACUCACCAGGUCCAGACACAUUAAGGAUUGACAGAUUGAGAGCUCUUUCUUGAUUAUGUGGGUGGUGGUGCAUGGCCGUUCUUAGUUGGUGGAGUGAUUUGUCUGCUUAAUUGCGAUAACGAACGAGACCUUAACCUGCUAAAUAGCUGGGCUCGCGUUAGCGAGAUUCUGGCU